AGUGGCAGACGGGUGAGUAACACGUGGUCAACCUUCCGUUUUGUGGGGGAUAACUAGCCGAAAGGUUAGCUAAUACCGCAUACGAUCUACAGCGGGCAUCCGCAGUAGAUGAAAGGAGCAAUUCGCAAAACGACGGGACCGCGUCCCAUUAGCUAGAUGGUGGGGUAAUGGCCUACCAUGGCUCCGAUGGGUAGCUGGUUUGAGAGAGCGACCAGCCACACUGGGACUGAGAAACGGCCCAGACUCCUACGGGAGGCAGCAGUGAGGAAUUUUCCGCAAUGGGCGCAAGCCUGACGGAGCGACGCCGCGUGUGGGAAGAAGGCCUUCGGGUCGUAAACCACUGUCGAAGGGGAAGAUAAUGACGGUACCCUUGGAGGAAGCCCCGGCUAACUACGUGCCAGCAGCCGCGGUAAGACGUAGGGGGCGAGCGUUAUUCGGAAUUAUUGGGCGUAAAGCGCUCGUAGGCGGGACUGGAAGUCCGUGAGGAAAGACCUGGGCUCAACUCAGGUAACUGCGCGGA
This 520-nucleotide ribosomal RNA is filed under the name uncultured bacterium. RNAcentral's name for it is "bacterial SSU rRNA". It matches the Rfam family "Bacterial small subunit ribosomal RNA", at positions 94 to 630 of the family's 1533-position model. The record is from RNAcentral.